GAUGAACGCUGGCGGCGUGCCUAAUACAUGCAAGUCGAGCGAACAGACGAGGAGCUUGCUCCUUUGACGUUAGCGGCGGACGGGUGAGUAACACGUGGGUAACCUACCUAUAAGACUGGGAUAACUUCGGGAAACCGGAGCUAAUACCGGAUAAUAUUUCGAACCGCAUGGUUCGAUAGUGAAAGAUGGCUUUGCUAUCACUUAUAGAUGGACCUGCGCCGUAUUAGCUAGUUGGUAAGGUAACGGCUUACCAAGGCAACGAUACGUAGCCGACCUGAGAGGGGGAUCGGCCACACUGGAACGGAGACACGGUCCAGACUCCUACGGGAGGCAGCAGGAGGGAAUCUUCCGCAAUGGGCGAAAGCCUGACGGAGCAACGCCGCGUGAGUGAUGAAGGUCUUCGGAUCGUAAAACUCUGUUAUUAGGGAAGAACAAACGUGUAAGUAACUGUGCACGUCUUGACGGUACCUAAUCAGAAAGCCACGGCUAACUACGUG
This 497-nucleotide ribosomal RNA is filed under the name uncultured bacterium. RNAcentral describes it as "partial 16S ribosomal RNA". It matches the Rfam family "Bacterial small subunit ribosomal RNA", at positions 28 to 507 of the family's 1533-position model. The record is from RNAcentral.